UCCCUCAUGGUACUUGUUUGCUAUCGGUCUCAAAUUCAUGUUUAGCUUGAGAUGAAAUUUACCACCCACUUUGCGCUCCAUUCCCAAGGAACGUGACUCUGCACAGCGUGCCGUACACACGGGGCUGCAAAUUAAAGACGGGACUCUCACCCUCUGUGGUGCGCUCUUCCAAGCGACUUGUAUUUGCGCCCGCGUUGGCAGCGCAGUUACAAAUUACAAUUCAAGGCCGCGGGCCCUGAUUUCCACUUUGAGCUGCUCCGAGUUCAUUCGCCAUUACUCACGGAAUCCUCUUUAGUUUCUUAUCACUCCGCUUACUUAUAUGCUUAAAUUCGGCGGGUUUACUUACCCAAUUUCAUUUCUGAAAUUCUCGGCAUGCACCGCGGCUGCAAAUGAUACAAUGCAUAACUUCAAAUCGCGCGAGCGCAAAUUCUAGUAGUUAUAGCAUCGAUCCAGCGUACGCAGGUAAGCUUGACACGCGAUGCUGGUCAACAGCUCGUUGGCAAGCAAGGAAUCUCACAGCAAGUUGGAACAACGCUUGAAGAAUCUGAAAUGGGCAUGCUGUCAACAGGGGUUGGCAGCGCAACUUGCGUUCAACAUUCUAUUGGUUCACGGAAUUCUG
RNAcentral lists this unclassified non-coding RNA (619 nucleotides) under uncultured eukaryote. RNAcentral describes it as "partial contains 5.8S rRNA and ITS2". The record is from RNAcentral.